GUGUCAGCCGCCGCGGUAAUACGUAGGGGGCUAGCGUUGUCCGGAAUCAUUGGGCGUAAAGAGCGUGUAGGCGGCCCGGUAAGUCCGCUGUGAAAGUCGGGGGCUCAACCCUCGAAUGCCGGUGGAUACUGUCGGGCUAGAGUGCGGAAGAGGCGAGUGGAAUUCCUGGUGUAGCGGUGAAAUGCGCAGAUAUCAGGAGGAACACCGAUUGCGAAGGCAGCUCGCUGGGACGUAACUGACGCUGAGACGCGAAAGCGUGGGGAGCAAACAGGAUUAGAUACCCUGGUAGUCC
Molecule: ribosomal RNA, 292 nt
Filed under: uncultured bacterium
Lineage: Bacteria
Description: partial 16S ribosomal RNA
Rfam family: Bacterial small subunit ribosomal RNA
Source: RNAcentral